GACAGAGGAUGCAAGCGUUAUCCGGAAUGAUUGGGGCGUAAAGCGUCUGUAGGUGGCUUUUAAGUUCGCCGUCAAAUCCCAGGGCUCAACCCUGGACAGGCGGUGGAAACUAACCAAGCUGGAGUACGGUAGGGGCGAGAGGGAAUUUCCGGUGGAGCGGUGAAAUGCGUAGAGAUCGGAAAGAAACACCAACGGCGAAAGCACUCUGCUGGGCCGACACUGACACUGAGAGACGAAAGCUAGGGGAGCGAAUGGGGAUUAGAUACCCCCCGUAGU
Molecule: ribosomal RNA, 276 nt
Filed under: uncultured bacterium
Lineage: Bacteria
Description: partial 16S ribosomal RNA
Rfam family: Bacterial small subunit ribosomal RNA
Source: RNAcentral